This is a long non-coding RNA of Brassica oleracea var. oleracea, 788 nucleotides long. RefSeq lists it as uncharacterized. NCBI's taxonomy places the organism in Eukaryota, Viridiplantae, Streptophyta, Magnoliopsida, Brassicales, Brassicaceae. The record is from RefSeq and is a predicted model, not a curated record. The transcript has 2 exons.
AUACAGGAUAGAGUAGUUGUAAUUAUUACCCUACUGAACUCUACUACUUCACGCCAUCUCUUGACAUCUGAAACUAAAAGUAUUAAAUUUUGAAGUUAUUCUAGCUCACCUGAUAAUCUGAUAUUUCUCUCUCUAACUAAAUUUCGUCACUUAUCUUUUUCGAGAUCUAUUUGUAUUAUCCUCUAAAAAUCCAGUUUGAGAUUCAACUCUCCAAAGGACACUCUUCUCCCUAUCAUCAGAUUUGCCGCGUCUCGUUUAACAAAAGAAGAAAAACCGUAGGCUCCGUCAAGUCCCACCUCGAGAAUCACCACCUCCUCGCCACCAUCAAAUACGAAGACUUCACCGUCAAACCGUUCCAAGACCUUUAAAUCCAGUCAUGUUCGGUCCACACACACAAGCAAUAGAUUACCGUUUGUCUGUAUCCUCUCUUUCUCUCUCAGAUAUGGGCACCAAGAACGCGAGAGACAAAACCAAGCAUCUUUACCUUAACGUUCUUUCAGCUGGGUUACCAUUAGGUCUCACUUCACAAUCUUUCCCGUCAUUUUCUUGAUUCGAUUGGAGGGGUCUCAAGCUAGAUAGGACAGAUCAAACAGAGCUUAACUUUUUUUUACCAAGAUUCAAGGCUUACACAGAUGCUUCAAAACUUUGAGAAGGAUACACAGAGGAAAAAAACAUGAAAUUUGUGAUUCGGGGAUUGUGUAUGACAAAUGUAUCCCGUUAGCAUAUUUGAUAUCAUAUUCUAAUAACUAAGUAGCUAUGUAGUUGUUAUCUAAUUAUCAUUGAGUUUA